This 1747-nucleotide ribosomal RNA is filed under the name Haemophilus influenzae. RNAcentral's name for it is "partial 23S ribosomal RNA". It matches the Rfam family "Bacterial large subunit ribosomal RNA", at positions 1208 to 2925 of the family's 2925-position model. Lineage: Bacteria; Pseudomonadati; Pseudomonadota; Gammaproteobacteria; Pasteurellales; Pasteurellaceae. The record is from RNAcentral.
AUUAGUGAUACGCCUGUUGGGUAGGGGAGCGUUGUGUAAGCGGAAGAAGGUUCAUCGAGAGGUGGGCUGGACGUAUCACAAGUGCGAAUGCUGACAUAAGUAACGAUAAAACGGGUGAAAAACCCGUUCGCCGGAAGACCAAGGGUUCCUGUCCAACGUUAAUCGGGGCAGGGUGAGUCGGCUCCUAAGGCGAGGCUGAAAAGCGUAGUCGAUGGGAAACAGGUUAAUAUUCCUGUACUUGGUAAAGCUGCGAUGUGGGGACGGAGUAGGUUAGGUUAUCGCACUGUUGGAUAUGUGCGUUUAAGUUGGUAGGUGGGAAGUUUAGGCAAAUCCGGACUUCCUUAACACAGAGAGAUGAUGACGAGGCUCUACGGAGCUGAAGUAACUGAUACCACGCUUCCAGGAAAAGCCACUAAGCGAAAGGCUUUACUAAACCGUACUGAAAACCGACACAGGUGGUCAGGUAGAGAAUACUCAGGCGCUUGAGAGAACUCGGGUGAAGGAACUAGGCAAAAUAGCACCGUAACUUCGGGAGAAGGUGCGCCGGCGUAGAUUGUAGUCCCUAGCGGGCGAAGGUUGAACCGGUCGAAGAUACCAGCUGGCUGCAACUGUUUAUUAAAAACACAGCACUCUGCAAACACGAAAGUGGACGUAUAGGGUGUGAUGCCUGCCCGGUGCUGGAAGGUUAAUUGAUGGUGUCAUCGCAAGAGAAGCACCUGAUCGAAGCCCCAGUAAACGGCGGCCGUAACUAUAACGGUCCUAAGGUAGCGAAAUUCCUUGUCGGGUAAGUUCCGACCUGCACGAAUGGCAUAAUGAUGGCCAGGCUGUCUCCACCCGAGACUCAGUGAAAUUGAAAUCGCCGUGAAGAUGCGGUGUACCCGCGGCUAGACGGAAAGACCCCGUGAACCUUUACUAUAGCUUGACACUGAACAUUGAAUUUUGAUGUGUAGGAUAGGUGGGAGACUUAGAAGCAGUCACGCCAGUGAUUGUGGAGUCGUCCUUGAAAUACCACCCUUUAACGUUUGAUGUUCUAACGAAGAUUGCGGAACGCGGUCUCGGACAGUGUCUGGUGGGUAGUUUGACUGGGGCGGUCUCCUCCCAAAGCGUAACGGAGGAGCACGAAGGUUUGCUAAUCACGGUCGGACAUCGUGAGGUUAGUGCAAUGGUAUAAGCAAGCUUAACUGCGAGACAGACAAGUCGAGCAGGUACGAAAGUAGGUCAUAGUGAUCCGGUGGUUCUGAAUGGAAGGGCCAUCGCUCAACGGAUAAAAGGUACUCCGGGGAUAACAGGCUGAUACCGCCCAAGAGUUCAUAUCGACGGCGGUGUUUGGCACCUCGAUGUCGGCUCAUCACAUCCUGGGGCUGAAGUAGGUCCCAAGGGUAUGGCUGUUCGCCAUUUAAAGUGGUACGCGAGCUGGGUUUAGAACGUCGUGAGACAGUUCGGUCCCUAUCUGCCGUGGGCGUUGGAUGAUUGAUUGGGGCUGCUCCUAGUACGAGAGGACCGGAGUGGACGCACCACUGGUGUUCCGGUUGUGUCGCCAGACGCAUUGCCGGGUAGCUAAGUGCGGAAGAGAUAAGUGCUGAAAGCAUCUAAGCACGAAACUUGCCAAGAGAUGAGUCAUCCCUGACUUUAAGUCAGUAAGGGUUGUUGUAGACUACGACGUAGAUAGGUCUGGUGUGUAAGUGUAGUGAUACAUUGAGCUAACAGAUACUAAUUGCCCGAGAGGCUUAACUAUACAACGCUCAAG